GAUGAACGCUGGCGGCGUGCCUAAUACAUGCAAGUCGAGCGAACAGACGAGGAGCUUGCUCCUCUGACGUUAGCCGCGGACGGGUGAGUAACACGUGGAUAACCUACCUAUAAGACUGGGAUAACUUCGGGAAACCGGAGCUAAUACCGGAUAACCUGUGGAACCGCAUGGUUCAACAGUGAAAGACGGUCUUGCUGUCACUUAUAGCUGGAUCCGCGCCGCAUUAGCUAGUUGGUAAGGUAACGGCUUACCAAGGCAACGAUGCGUAGCCGACCUGAGAGGGUGAUCGGCCACACUGGAACUGAGACCCGGGCCAGACUCCGACGGGAGGCAGCAGUAGGGAAUCUUCCGCGAGGGGCGAAAGCCUGACGGAGCGACGCCGCGGGAGUGAAGAAGGCCUGCGGAUCGGAAGACUCUGUUAUUAGGGAAGAACAAAUGUGUAAGUAACUAUGCACGUCUUGACGGUACCUAAUCAGAGAGCCACGGCUAACUACGGU
RNAcentral lists this ribosomal RNA (497 nucleotides) under uncultured bacterium. RNAcentral's name for it is "partial 16S ribosomal RNA". It matches the Rfam family "Bacterial small subunit ribosomal RNA", at positions 28 to 507 of the family's 1533-position model. The record is from RNAcentral.